Molecule: ribosomal RNA, 445 nt
Filed under: uncultured bacterium
Lineage: Bacteria
Description: partial 16S ribosomal RNA
Rfam family: Bacterial small subunit ribosomal RNA
Source: RNAcentral
GUGAGGAAUAUUGGUCAAUGGGCGCGAGCCUGAACCAGCCAAGUCGCGUGAAGGAAGAAGGAUCUAUGGUUCGUAAACUUCUUUUGCAGGGGAAUAAAGUGCAGGACGUGUCCUGUUUUGUAUGUACCCUGAGAAUAAGGAUCGGCUAACUCCGUGCCAGCAGCCGCGGUAAUACGGAGGAUCCGAGCGUUAUCCGGAUUUAUUGGGUUUAAAGGGUGCGUAGGUGGUUUGAUAAGUCAGCGGUGAAAGUUUGCAGCUUAACUGUAAAAAUGCCGUUGAAACUGUCGGACUUGAGUGUAAAUGAGGUAGGCGGAAUGCGUGGUGUAGCGGUGAAAUGCAUAGAUAUCACGCAGAACUCCGAUUGCGAAGGCAGCUUACUAAGCUACAACUGACACUGAAGCACGAAAGCGUGGGGAUCAAACAGGAUUAGAUACCCCAGUAGUCC